ACGGAUCGUAACGUUCUCUGAGCAGUAGGAAGCAGGUUAUUCCUACAGAAACGGAUCGUAACGUUCUCUGAGCAGUAGGAAGCAGGUUAUUCCUACAGAAACGGAUCGUAACGUUCUCUGAGCAGUAGGAAGCAGGUUAUUCCUACAGAAACGGAUCGUAACGUUCUCUGAGCAGUAGGAAGCAGGUUAUUCCUACAGAAACGGAUCGUAACGUUCUCUAAGCAGUAGGAAGCAGGUUAUUCCUACAGAAACGGAUCGUAACGUUCUCUGAGCAGUAGGAAGCAGGUUAUUCCUACAGAAACGGAUCGUAACGUUCUCUGAGCAGUAGGAAGCAGGUUAUUCCUACAGAAACGGAUCGUAACGUUCUCUGAGCAGUAGGAAGCAGGUUAUUCCUACAGAAACGGAUCGUAACGUUCUCUGAGCAGUAGGAAGCAGGUUAUUCCUACAGAAACGGAUCGUAACGUUCUCUGAGCAGUAGGAAGCAGGUUAUUCCUACAGAAACGGAUCGUAACGUUCUCUAAGCAGUAGGAAGCAGAUUAUUCCUACAGAAACGGAUCGUAACGUUCUCUGAGCAGUAGGAAGCAGGUUAUUCCUACAGAAACGGAUCGUAACGUUCUCUGAGCAGUAGGAAGCAGAUUAUUCCUACAGAAACGGAUCGUAACGUUCUCUGAGCAGUAGGAAGCAGGUUAUUCCUACAGAAACGGAUCGUAACGUUCUCUGAGCAGUAGGAAGCAGGUUAUUCCUACAGAAACGGAUCGUAACGUUCUCUGAGCAGUAGGAAGCAGGUUAUUCAGUCAACCUUUUGAUCUGUUGUUGAUUAUGGUGAUGUUAUUUAUCAAAGUGCAGCUACUAAAAUGCUUAAACCUUUGGAUGCCAUCUCCCAUAAUGCCCUUCGUUUCGUUACAGGGGACAGUUGUAAUACUCAUCACUGCAUCCUCUAUCUAAAGGUUGGCUGGACUUCACUGAAGACCUCAUUCUAUCUCCCAUAAUGCCCUUCGUUUCGUAACAGGGGACAGUUGUAAUACUCAUCACUGCAUCCUCUAUCUAAAGGUUGGCUGGACUUCGUUAAAAAACCUGCAUCUCUACAUGACUCCCUUUUUGUUUACGAGGCCCUACUUCAUAAACUUCUUUCUUGUCUAACUUUGCUGUUGAAGUCUAGACACCGGAGUUGCCUAACUCGUUCACAGGGAUUGGUUAACUCUUAAAGUUCCCUAGGGUCUCCACCGAGCUAGAUAAAUCUGCUUUUAGUUUUAAUUCCAAAUACAUUUAACCUUGGUGUUCUGGUGCCGUUCGGCCUAUUUCAAGUUUUAAUUGACGACUUAUUUGUGGAGGAAUAUAACUGUUUUUCUGGGUGAUGUUUAAUUCCCCAUGACAGUGUUUUUGUAUUUUAGUGUGUAUCUGUUAUUUAAAAAAAAAAAGAAAUUACCAGGUAAGUUGACGGAGAACACAUUCUCAUUUGCAGCAACGACCUGGGGAUAUAGUUACAGGGGAGAGGAGGGAGAUUAAUGAGCCAAUUGUCAACUGGGGAUUAUUAGGUGACCGUGAUGGUUUGAAGGUCAAAUUGGGAAUUUAGCCAGGACACCGGGGUUAACACCCCUACUCUUACGAUAAGUGUCAUGUGAUCUUUGAUGACCUCAGAGAGUCAGGACACCGGGGUUAACACCCCUACUCUUACAAUAAGUGUCAUGUGAUCUUUAGUGACCUCAGAGAGUCAGGACACCGGGGUUAACACCCCUACUCUUACGAUAAGUGCCAUGUGAUCUUUAAUGACCUCAGAGAGUCAGGACACCAGGGUUAACACCCCUACUCUUACGAUAAGUGCCAUGGGAUCUUUAGUGACCACAGAGAGUCAGGACACCCGUUUAACGUCCCAUCUGAAAGACGGCACCCUACACAGGGCAGUGUCCCCAAUCACUGCCCUGGGGCAUUGAGAUAUUUUUUUUUUAGACCAGAGGAAAGAGUGCCUCCUACUGGGACUCCAACACCUCUUCCAGCAGCAUCUGGUCUCCCAUCCAGGGACCAACCAGGACCAACCCUGCUUAGGGUAUAUGUUUAGGUAUGUUUAGGUAUG
Oncorhynchus keta (chum salmon) is the source of this 2071-nucleotide long non-coding RNA. RefSeq lists it as uncharacterized. NCBI's taxonomy places the organism in Eukaryota, Metazoa, Chordata, Actinopteri, Salmoniformes, Salmonidae. The record is from RefSeq and is a predicted model, not a curated record. The transcript has 4 exons.